UCUUCCUCCUCCGAUUCAGAAGCAAAUCUAUGCGGGUCUGGAUGACGCCCGAACGUGAAGAGCUAGCUAGCUAGCGACGAAGGGCACGCACGCAUGCACGACCGGCGCAGCUUGGCACCUAAGUUGCGCGGCGCGCGAGCCCGACGAGCAAGAAAAAGGCAACGGCCGGCGUGUUUCAGGCUUCCGGCGUAUUUUAGCUUUUCAUUUCGUUCUGCUGGAAGAUAUCUGUUGGACGAUGCAGAUUGGAAUUCGCUCUCCUUACUUUUCUUGUUCUUGUCAGUGACGGACCAGGGACCGAGGUUUGCCGGGAUAACCGGCGACGAGAAAGCACGGUUGCGCUGCUUCCACUGGCCACUACGCAGGAGAGGUAGCCUGCAUCCUCUCGCCGGAGACCCGGGCCUGCCGCUCAUGCUUACCGGCCCAGUGGUGGAUCCAUCACUGGUUCUUGUUUAUGCCAGGCUUGAGCCAUGCAAGAUCCAGCAAGCGCUACUCAGAUGUUCACCCGAAGCUAGCUAGCCCCCUUGAUGUUGAGUGUUGCCUACAGACAUGGAAAGACAUGUGCUGGAGAGGGUACUGUACUCCUGCAGCUGAUCUGAUCGCCGUCAAGAUCUUGAAGCUCAACGAGGAGACAAGACAAUUUGGAAAAUCUAUCAGGAAUCUGGCGUGAUUCGAGCAUCCACAUGUGUGCGGUAUUUUUGGGUAGAAACUGAGCAAAUUUAUUUUGUGCAAUAUGAUGUCCACCAGCUGACUCCAUC
Molecule: long non-coding RNA, 755 nt
Organism: Triticum aestivum (bread wheat)
Lineage: Eukaryota; Viridiplantae; Streptophyta; Magnoliopsida; Poales; Poaceae
Exons: 3
Source: RefSeq, a predicted model, not a curated record